Long non-coding RNA from Rhopalosiphum padi (bird cherry-oat aphid), 647 nucleotides. RefSeq lists it as uncharacterized. The transcript is spliced from 2 exons. The record is from RefSeq and is a predicted model, not a curated record. Lineage: Eukaryota; Metazoa; Arthropoda; Insecta; Hemiptera; Aphididae.
AAAAGCACGUAUCGAUAUUUACUCGUAACUAUAGUUCAUUAUAAUAUACUCUUUGGCUCCUAUAGGCUAUAAGUAUAUAUUUGUCGUAGUUUAAAUACUUAUAUAUAGUACGUGAAAUCAUUAUUGUUGGGAUGAAAACGGUGCAUAAAGUUUCAACGAUUUUCGAGUUAAACGUAUUACGUAACAUAAUUGAUAAUAUAUUAUACACUUGAGAAAAUCGAACGAAUAACGUCAAUUUAGCGAGAGUGAUGGAAGGCAAACUGCAGCAUUAUAAACGAGCUUCGUAUAUCCCCAAACCUUGGAUCAGAAGUCAUCGUUCGUCGCUAUUACAACAGCAGCAGAAGGAGUAAUUGAACGCACGUAUAUAUUAAUGUGAUACACUCUGUAUACAUACAUGGCUACAUACCACCAGAUAAUACAUUAUUAAUUAUUAUUACGUACGAGCACCUUUUGUAUAACGUGAUUCGGCAGGAUGGUAGAGUAUAUACUAUAUUAUAAUAGUGUACGUUUCACGUUCUUAUACACAAGAAAUUACAUGUAUAAUACAAGACAAGUGCACACACGUUUACGUUUGCUUGCCCAUUAUGGUCAACAUUUAGUUAAUUCUAUCAAAUGUUUACUUUAUAAAAAAAAUUUAACAAUUUGUU